CAGGCCCUAAAACAAUACAGAGAAACCCUGUCUUGAAAACAAACAAACAAACAAACCAACCAAAACCUACAAUGCUUUAAAAGGUGUCUCCUAAUGAGAUAAUCAGAUAACCAUUUUGUUAAAAUAACUUUCAGGUAAUGUCUUAGCUACUUUUCUAUUGUUGUGAAGAAACACCAUGAUCUUGGCAACUUCGAAAAGGAAACAUUGAAUUAGGGACUCAUUUACAGUUUCAGAGUCAGUCAACAAUCAAGGUGGGGAGCAUAGCAGCAGGCAGGACAUGGUACCCACAAAGGUCAGAAGACAAGGAGCCCCUGGAACUUGAGC
RNAcentral lists this long non-coding RNA (324 nucleotides) under Cricetulus griseus (Chinese hamster). RNAcentral describes it as "lncRNA (ENSCGRG00015035171.1)". The record is from RNAcentral. Lineage: Eukaryota; Metazoa; Chordata; Mammalia; Rodentia; Cricetidae.